Molecule: unclassified non-coding RNA, 2439 nt
Filed under: Neodiprion lecontei (redheaded pine sawfly)
Lineage: Eukaryota; Metazoa; Arthropoda; Insecta; Hymenoptera; Diprionidae
Description: uncharacterized LOC124293318, transcript variant X1
Source: RNAcentral
AGAGACGGAUACCCCUGGGUAAAUUUUUGUGACCAGUUUUCGUCGGGCAAGUGGGCGCAGGUAGGCCUGGGAGCGUAGGAGGGUUCUGUUCUAUCGACUCUGCUUAAUAAAUUUCUCCCAACAUUCGUAGCAAAACAGUGAUUUAAUUGAAGUAUAGGUACCCGAGAGAAGAAUGUAUACAUAGAUCAUAAAUAAUAACAGAUCAGAAGCAACAAUGAUGCAGAGAUUAUAAAUUUUAUAAUUUUCGAAGAAACAAGCUAGAUCAUCUACAAUAAUACGGCUAUAAUAUGGAAAUAGAAGAAUCAUUCAUUUCGAAAUGGGAUUCUAUUCGACACGCGCUCGAUGUAUUCCAUAACAUUAAUAUUCAUAAUUAUUCCAACAACUUUUCAUUUGCUCUCUCGAUCUUGAAUUUUCGUAGACAUAGAAUCGAAACGCUGAUUUAGCUUAUCGCAAGUGAAGUACCUACAUUGGGUAGUGAAGCAGAAUUGUUUUCGAAAAGUGUUCAUAUCGAAAAAAAUUCAGAGUAACUGUAAUACAUAACGGAUGCGCUGAUUUUGAUCGAGAUGAAAUGGAUGCUCCGUAUAUAAGACAGUAUUUAACGCAGUGUCCUGACUUAAAGACCUCAAAAAGUGAUGGUCGGCGAUCUUUUUUUUCUGACAGCGAGAGAAAGAACGUAGCUUCUUAAAACUUCGAGUGUAUUUUCUGACAUACUUGAAAGAUACAAGCAAAAAUUUUUAUCAUCCAACUGUCGCAGACCGGCAGAGUUAUUAGCUGACCCGUUAACUGGAGAAUAUAUCUGUAGUCAAAGGCUGACCAUCGAAGGGCCUAGCCGCUUGAGUCUGGAAUCGGCAGGAAAGAUAAAGUGCGUAUUUCUUGUCUGAAACGAAAAAACUGAAAUCAUUUACGUCAUAUCAUAUCAUCAUACAUCAUACACCAUACAUCAUCAUGCAUCCUACAUCAUACAUCAUCAUAGUAUUAAGGUUCAAAACUAAAGUUGGGGUAUUCGGAUGUUCGGAUGUUCAGAAAGUGACGUCACCGAAAUUUUUUUUCUUCUGACGUCAUCGAUCUAUGGUAAUCAGCUAGCCGAAUUCAUCAGUCUGGAAACAACUGCGCAGUAGAUCGGACGUAUGGGAAUCGCGCGCCGCAAAUUUCGAGUACCGGGUUCUCUACCUCCUGGAUCCUGCGCUCCAGGUCCAGUUUUUAGUGCAACUCGAGUUCUAGGACAAGCGCUCCGUAGUUUCUACGCUCCAGGUCCGUUACCUGGUGAAACUCGACUUUCAGGACAACCGCUCCGUAGCUUCUGUGCUCAAGGUCCGCUACCUGGUGGAACUCGACUUCGGGAAGAAACGCUUCGUACAUUCUGCAUUCCAGGUCUGUUACCUGGUGAAACUCGACUUCCAGGAUGAGUACUCCGUGGUUGUUGUGCUCCAGGUCUGCUAUCUGGUGAAUUUCAACUCUCGGAGGACAAGGAAGACGCGGAGGACAAGGUGGACGAGGAGAACGAGGAUUUCUGCACAACAUAACCCGAGGUGGUUGGCAGUGGUCGUUGGAGAUGGUUGGUGGUGGAUGGAGGUGGUCGAGCUGGACGAGGAGGAGGACGAGGAAGUCGAGGAGAACAAUGUGGACGAGAAGGACGAGGAUUUGUGCUCGUUGAGAGCUGUACUCCACACAAUACAAGAAAUACUGGACAAAGGUGAUGAGAUGAUAGUAGUACCACAAUGGACCAGUAUGCUGGAAGUUGUGAGGUCUCGUCUCAAAACCCUAAAUGGAGCAACUUAUGACACCCUGUCUGGAAAAAUUCCCGUAAAAAAUCGCGCAUAGUGGAGUCGUUCAACACAAUAGACUCAGCACCGCAAAUUCUAUUACUAUCGCUUACUGCAGGCGGAGUAAGCUUAAAUUUGGUUGGCGGCAAUCACUUACUUUUGCUUGAUAUCCGUUGGGAUCGGUAAUUGGAAGCGCAAGCACAGGAUCGAAUUUACAGAGUUGGCCAAACUAAAAGCGUUUACAUUUACAAGAUUAGAGCACUGCAAAACAGAAAGCUAGAAAUAGCGAACGGAGGUUUGACAGGAGCAGGUACUGCAGGUGCCUCCAAGUUAUUGAUGGAUGAUCUCAAAUGUUUGUUCAGCUUGUAAAACUUUUAUUUUGCCAAACGCCUGCACUUUCUGACCUAACUUACGUAAUUUUACAAGAAGUCGAUCGACCCGUUACUUUUCGAUGUAUCUAUGCGCUAAAAACCAAAGUGUUUUGGUACGACUGAAGGAAAUACGCCCUAUUUUAUAAUAUGAGAAAUUCUACAUUAAUCUAUUUUAUAAGUGGAUAUAUUUAUGGUUGAGUUAGUUAUGAGUGUAUUCGAGAAAACUUUGAACAUACGUUAUUGUUUCAAAUCAUUCUUAAGCCUAGUUUUUUAAAGCAGUAAUUAAUUGUUGCAUUAUUACUAAG